Molecule: ribosomal RNA, 329 nt
Filed under: uncultured Glomeromycotina
Lineage: Eukaryota; Fungi; Glomeromycota
Description: eukaryotic LSU rRNA
Source: RNAcentral
CAGUCGUACCUUCGGGUAAUCAGCCUUUCGAGUGCGAUUCUGUGGAGUGUGAGGAGUUAAACGCCUUCAUGCCUGCAUAUUCGUGCACUUUGGGUGUACUUGCCCGUGUGGUAGGUUAACAUCAAUUUCGGAUGUCAUAAAAUGGCUGGAGGAAUGUAGCUUCGGUCUCGUAUUGAAGUGUUAUAGCCUCUGGUAGAUGUGAUGACCGGGAUUGAGGAUUGCAACGAAUACCUUUUGGGCUAUCCGCCUGAUCUCUGAAAGUUGCUCUGGUGCCGAAAGCGUGCUUACGGUUAUCAAAGUUGACGUUCAAAAGGUUAGAACGGGUUAAA